UAUCUGGUUGAUCCUGCCAGUAUUAUAUGCUGAUAUUAAAGAUUAAGCCAUGCAUGUGUAAGUAUAAGUUAAAUAAUGCGAAACUGCGGAAGGCUCAUUAUAACAGUUAUAGUUUUGAUGGUUAGUAAAAAAAGGAUAACUCUUGUUAAUUGCAGAGCUAAUACUUGAAUUUACUAUAAUCUAUAUGAUUAUACGUAAUAAAGCAAUUUAUUACAUAGGAAUAGCUUUUUGAGAAGAAGGUUAAAUUGAGAAUUGAUGAAACUUAAAUGUUUUUACAAGUAACUGUUUUAAAUAUCUGACCUAUCAACUUGAAGGUAUGAUAGAGGCAUACCUAAGUGAUAACGGGUAACGAGAAAUAAGGGUUUGAUUUCGGAGAGGGAGCUUUA
RNAcentral lists this ribosomal RNA (386 nucleotides) under Entamoeba struthionis. RNAcentral's name for it is "bacterial SSU rRNA". It matches the Rfam family "Eukaryotic small subunit ribosomal RNA", at positions 1 to 399 of the family's 1831-position model. The record is from RNAcentral. Lineage: Eukaryota; Evosea; Mastigamoebida; Endamoebidae.